GGAAUAAUGAACGUUUCUAUCUAUCUUAUACAUACUCUCUCUCUCUCUCUCUCUCUCUCUCUCUCUUAUACCACUCUUUACCUAUCUCUCUCCCUCUUUUUCCGUGUUAUCCCCUCUGUAUAUCUGCUUGUACGCUUGUCUUUCUUUCACUGUCAACAUCCUUUUUUCUCUCUUUUCUUCCUUCUUCCCUUUCUCCUUGUAUGCUGCGGCAGCUUCAUAGGCCUAUUCUUUAUCCCAAGUACAUUAUAAUUUCAUCACAAGAUAAUUAUAUUAGAAAAGAAGAAUAUAAUUAUUACUAUGUACUUACGUUUAUUUACGUUUAUUUAUUCUGGUAACUAACCGAAUUAAUCGGGUAAAAACAGAAAAAGUACCAGAAAAAUGAUCGCUUUUCGAACAUAGUCGCUUUUAGUGUUUAUACCGAACUAUAUGCAUGGUAUAAAAUAUACAUAUAUAUUUACAUAUAUAUUUAUAUAAAUAUAUACAACAGUAACGUUGAUGUAUUUUAUUUCCACAAAUCACACGCCAACUUGCCUAAUUCUAUUAUCUACUUGGAAAAAACAACUGGAUUACGACACUCUUGUCGUUGUGCUUAUUUUUUUUUAAAUCUGAUAAAUAUUUGUAUUAAAGUUCCUCCUAAACGUUACGAAAGAGGCUUCACUAAGGUAUAUUGUCUAGGAAACGUGCAUUCCUUCUAAUUUAGUCAUAAUAAUAUAUAUGUUCUUAUUUAAUAUACAAAUAUGUAUAUAGCUAGCUAUAAAUAGUAAUAAUAUAUAAGUAUGUUUGCGCAUAUUAUGCUGUAUUAUACAUGUACUUUAUGGGAAUAAUGUACGAAAUAUCAGAAAAAAGAUUGUAUUUAAGAGUAAAAAAAGGGAAAGGGAAAAAUUCUACAGUUAAUUUCUGUAUUUUAACAAUGCACACACCAACUUCGCUAAUGGCUUUUAUGGGAGAAUCAAUUCGACGAAAAAAAACACUACGUAUAAAACUACCGCUGUUCCAAAUCAAAGUCCGGAACUAUUGCAGUAUAUUGCAGAAAGGAUGAUAAUGCGUAUGCACGUAGCCGAGGCCUAUUGAUUGGCGCAUAUAUGCAGGCUCAGCAAUCGAUUGGUGUGCGCAGACCAGGCGUUACUGAUGAGACGUCACAUUGACGGCACGCACGUCAUUCGCAAAAAAUAGGCCUAUAGGCUCCAUCGCAAAUUUUCCUAAAAAAAAUAUAUACGAGUCCUGUCUUGUUUUUUUGUUUCAUCCCUCCUACUUCGUUCUUUUUCUUUCUCUUUUUUACCCACUUCCUUCUAUUUUUCUCCAUGUUUUUCUGCAAGCUUUUAUACUACGUUCCUCAAGUUUCUUCUUCUUCUCUCUCCUUUCGCAGGGGCCCAUUUGGCUGAUCAAUAAUCGAUUGCACGCGAUUCCGCGGCCGCUAGGCCUGCGUGUGUAAGAAGUUGAACGGUAUAAUGAACAGUCAGCAUGUAACAGCAUGCAUGACCUGUUACGUAUAGGCUUAUACGUUCGUCAGAUUCUGCUCAUACUGUUCAAUACAAGCCGCGUAUACAAAGGCCUCGUGCAUGUAUAAAGGUGUGCAUAUUUCUUAUCAAAUAGAAUGUAUUGAUCUCCCGGUCGGUUUUUUACGAGCUGCGUAUAUAUACGAGGCCCAUAUAAGUUUUUGAUAUCUUUUGCAUAUCUGUAUAUACAUUCUCUGAUAACGUACGUACGCGUUCGAAUAGUUUGAUUUUUUUUCCCAUCAGGUGCGAACACCGUAAGGGAAAAACUGCUGUUUUUGAACGUCUUCCGAAAAUUUUACUCAGCAUUCUCUAUGUCGUACGAAACAAGUUUAAGAACGAAGGAGGAAUUCGAUAACGAAAUUAAGAAGAAACAUGAAGAAGAGGCGGUAAAAAGCAGAGGGAGGAAAAAGGCCUGCCCUAGAAAAGUUGUACAAACAGUACCGUCUGAAGGAUAUACCUAUGACGAUUUAAGCGGUUUAACUAAGGAACAAGUCGAACUUAUCGAAUUAUCACACGACGACGAUGAAAAGGGACGAAAGGAAUGUAGCGACUGUGGCGCCAUCUUUUCUACUUCCAAGGCAUUCUUAUAUCAUUGCCACCGAGCUGCCCAUUGUGCGAAAUUACCGUUUAUAUGCAGAGAAUGCGACCUAGCAUUUGGCAAUAGGAACGUUUUAUAUGAGCACGCAAGAAUACAGCAUUCUGAAGGAGUUAAGAAAUUGCCAUGUCCAUUACCAGCUUGUGAGAUUUUUAGUGGUAGCGUGGAACAGGUUAAUAGGCAUCUAAACGAAGAUCAUCGUACUCAAAUUAUAGUAAAAGAAGAAGAUUAUAACAUCUUAGCAAAUUUACAAAGUGCCAGUUUUAAAUAUACGUGCGAAAAUUGCUCGGAAUCGUUUCGAACUCAACUGUCAUUCAACUUUCACAAGUAUAAAAACUGCAAAACAAUAGAUGAAUCGAAUCAACCUCAUAAAUCGUUCCAAUGCAAAAGAUGUGGAUCGAAAUUUAAUUAUAAAAGUCUACUAGUCCUACACCUGCGCAAUAAACACAACAUCCUAGCGACCGAAUCGACCCUGGACGCCCUAAACGUGCCAUCAAAAGCCCAACAAUGCAUCGAUCAAUUAGUCAACGUUGUACUUUCGUCGUCUAAUCAAAAAGGUCCAGAGCUGCAUAGUGCAUUCCCUAGAAAUAAUAUUACACAAAUGGAUUUUCCAGUGGCAAAAAAGUCGAAAAAGGAUGAAAAUUUUAUGAAUAGUAUAGAUAAUAAUGACGAUGCCAGAAAAUAUGUAUGCGCCAAAUGCGAUGGAAAAUUUAAUACUAUUGAAGAGUUUAAAGUUCACGCGCAAGCCCACACUCUAUCACUAAUGUACGAAUGUCCUUUAAAUAGCUGUGACAAGUAUUUAUCAAGGGUUAACAACGUGAAUAGUCACCUGGUUACGAUACACAACGAAUUUAGUUUACAAGUAACCGGAAUGGAUUAUCGAUCCGGAAAAUAUCAUAUGAUUAAUCCCUUUAAAGGAGAUUUGAUGCUUAAGAAGAAUCGAAACGAAAACAACUCAGAACCAAUUAAGCCAAAAAAGAAGCCAGAAGAUCCUCAAGAAGGGGAAAAGGUUGGCCAAUCUUACUUAAUUAAACAGUCGCGCAUGCGUAUUGGAAAGGAUCGUAUUAAUCAGAAGUACGAAUGCAAAGUUUGUACUUUCAAGUCGUCAAGUGAAAGAAUGGUCCUAUUACACUUCAGACAGCGUCACAAGAAAAAUAAAAGGGUUUUCCGUUGCAACUUUUGUUCUAGUCAAUUUAACCUCAAAUUAACUUUGGAGCGUCAUAUUGCAACUAUUCAUUACGAUGGUAGCGAUAUAAACGCAAAUAACGUUAAGGCAUCAGAAGGUAGGAGAGAUGACAAUUUAGCUUAUAAGGAAGCCCUUAAGAAUAACACAGCACUAUGGAGUCUUUUAUUCCAAAAUCCGGUACUCACUUUGUCUCAACCAACUUUAGAUCCUCUUGUCUUCCAGGAUCUCGUAUCACAGCAGCUAAUGUCUAUGUCGUUAUUGAAUGUACCGGGAACCCCACCAAUUAAAACGAAUGAAAUCUCUGAAAAGAAUCAUUCAUCGUCUUCCUCAAGCUGCUCUUCCGACUGUGCCGAAUUUAAAUGUGAAGAUUGUGGAGCAAACUUUAAACACAAGCCUCAUUUACAAUACCAUCAACGAAAACAAGGACACGGUGGCUUAGAAGGCUUCAAAUGCGAGGACUGUGGUAUGAUAUUUGGGGUCAAGGCUCAUCUAAUAAAUCAUAGAAGGAAGCAUACUGGCGAAAAGCCGUACAGUUGCCCCAUUUGUCAGGUGACUUUUAGCAGGGUUGAUAUAGUUAACAUUCAUCUAAGGAAUGUUCAUAACUCGGACAUUAAGCUAUCUACAAAAGAUACGUCGCCUCCUAGUGGAACUGUAGCUCCCAUUUCGAAAAAUAUUACACCGGACAGCGCUGUUCAACCGGAAACUCCCAAAAAGAAUCCAAUAACACUCACGCAAACUAAUGGUCACCCUAUCGAAAAUCGCUAUAAAUGCUUUGAAUGCGGUAAAGUCUUUGAGAGAAGUUAUCAGCUCAGUCGCCAUAGAACUAAAGAAGGUCACGACGGUCGAGCUCGUCUUAGUUGUCCAAUAGAUUCGUGUGGGAAGUCAUUUGGUCUGAAAAGUGAGUUACAGCGCCAUCUCCUGGCACAUCGCAACCGUUUGCAUUUAUCUCGCCCAUGAUCUUAAAAUUGAAGAAACUAGUAAUGUAAAAAGAAAUUUUUAAUAAAAUACAAUGAAGGUCUACUACAAAAGAAGAUAAUACUAGAAGCAAGCAAAAGUAUAGAAAUCAAAUAAGAAUAUCAAGAAAAUUUUAUGAACAAGAUGCUUUUUAAUGUGUAAGUGCAAUAUAUUUAGAAACAAAAAAUGGGCUACACGCGUGAUCACUGGUUUUAUAUAUACAGUAUAUAUAUAUUAAAUAUAUAUCUAUACAUAUAUCGAUCACUUUUAGGUUUCAAUGAUAACUUGUAUAAUAGUAAAAUGAAAAGAAACGGCUUUUUUUCCUUCUGUGCAAGUAAACUUUUUAAUAGUGAAAAAGAUGCUAAAGGUUGAACAAGUGAAAAGCAUAUAUUGUAAAAAGGGAAAAGUUUAAUAAUAAUAAUAAUAAAUUAUUAAACUAGAAGAAUAAAUAAAGAAAUUAUGCUUAUAUUGAUAAAUAAGUCAUAUUUCGUAUAUAAAAAGAAACAUUAAUUCACAAACUUUUAGAGUUUAGUUUUCUAGAAAUUUUUUGACCGAAAAAAAGGAAAUUUGCUUUAAUUUAAAGAAAACUAACCUAAAACAACGAAAAGAUGAUUUUUAAGCAAAUUGUUUUUAAUAAUUUGUUAAACAAUACUUCCUUUUUAGUUGAGUCUCUGCUAAUAAAUACACAGAUUAUGUAUAUAUGUAUUAGAACUUGUUCAACUUUUGUUUGUAUUCUAUUUUUUCCUUGUUUUUUUUUUCUUUGUCUUUUUAAAGUUAAUAUUUUUCCAUAUGCUUUGUAAAAUCAACUACAACAACAACAGCAACCACAACAAAAAUCAAUUAUUACUCAGCCAUUCCUUUAUUUGACUGUGAUUUAUUUCCUUUUCUAAAAGUAUUAUUAAGAAAAAAGACGGAAAAAUUUUAAUUAAUUAUGUUAUUUUAAAGAGAAAACAUAAGAAAGGGUUUAUUAUUGAUUAUAUAUAUAUAUAUAUAUAUAUA
This 5230-nucleotide unclassified non-coding RNA is filed under the name Dimorphilus gyrociliatus. RNAcentral's name for it is "dgyrCDS12745". The record is from RNAcentral. Lineage: Eukaryota; Metazoa; Annelida; Polychaeta; Dinophilidae.